UACAGUGGGGGCAAGCGUUGUUCGGAAUUACUGGGCGUAAAGGGCUCGUAGGUGGCCAACUAAGUCGGACGUGAAAUCCCUCAGCUUAACUGGGGAACUGCAUCCGAUACUGGAUGGCUUGAGUUUGGGAGAGGGAUGCGGAAUUCCAGGUGUAGCGGUGAAAUGCGUAGAUAUCUGGAGGAACACCGGUGGCGAAGGCGGCAUCCUGGACCAACACUGACACUGAGGAGCGAAAGCCAGGGGAGCAAACGGG
This 253-nucleotide ribosomal RNA is filed under the name uncultured bacterium. Its description in RNAcentral is "partial 16S ribosomal RNA". It matches the Rfam family "Bacterial small subunit ribosomal RNA", at positions 524 to 776 of the family's 1533-position model. The record is from RNAcentral.